GUUCAAUGUGACGUGUAUGGUUAACAUUUCAAGUGCAACUGAUGGGAAAAAUUACCGUGUUCAGUUUACGAAAGGUAUUAAUUGAUCUAUUUUGUUUUUAUCUUAAUAUCAUUUUAGUCAAUUUACUCGAUUCUGAUUGGUUAAAUGGCGUGCCGAUUAAACAUUAUUAUAACGCGCAGUGUGCAUAUUAAAGAUUAAUACCGCGCAAGGUUUGUAAACAAAAUAGAAUGUUAGAACAUUAACUGAAAAAAAAUCCUACAUCUGCUAACACAUAACGCGUAGUUUUGCUAUCAACAGCGUGUUUAUUUAGUCGUAACCAUGUUUUAUUGCUGUAUACUUAAGCUUGUUUUCCUUUUUAGGACCAAGGUUCUCUAACAACGCUACCGUUAUAUCAGUGAUUGAAAACACUUUGGUUCAUUUGAAUGUUGACUGUUCAUCAGCAGGGUAUCCUAAACCUGCUGUACGGUGGAAAAUUGGUAAAGAUAUCCUCGCUCCCAGCAAUGGUAGUGUCACAUCAAAGCUUUUGGAAAAUUAUGUGGAUUAUAAGGGGUUCACAGGGACAUACCGUGUUCUAAGUAAUGGAACUUUGAGUAUUGAUGGAUCUUUCACGAACGCGCCCACUAGUGCGGAUUAUUUCUCAUGUAUUGCAAGUAAUACAGUUGGAGAACAACUUCAAAUCUUCCAUUUUAAUCUUGAGAAAU
Molecule: non-coding RNA, 701 nt
Organism: Paramuricea clavata
Lineage: Eukaryota; Metazoa; Cnidaria; Anthozoa; Malacalcyonacea; Plexauridae
Source: the annotation of a GenBank genome assembly